Molecule: long non-coding RNA, 196 nt
Organism: Patella vulgata (common limpet)
Lineage: Eukaryota; Metazoa; Mollusca; Gastropoda; Patellidae
Exons: 3
Source: RefSeq, a predicted model, not a curated record
AAUGACACCUAUGAUCGUAUAAUUAAGCCAAUAAUGUAUAAAUGUUAGAAGACGUAGAACCAGAAAGGGACCAAUGGACAGAGGCAAGCUCAACAGGUCUCUGUGGACGAUUGCCACACUUUCACGAAAGAUCUUUCAAUCUGGUGCAGAACAUGAAACAGGGAGAAUGUAGCCGCAGUAGGUGUGUAUAAAGCAG